This 253-nucleotide long non-coding RNA is filed under the name Lathyrus oleraceus (garden pea). RNAcentral describes it as "Pisum sativum (pea) long non-coding RNA (PSAT_LNC033793)". Lineage: Eukaryota; Viridiplantae; Streptophyta; Magnoliopsida; Fabales; Fabaceae. The record is from RNAcentral.
AAAAACAUUAAUCUAAAAAUCAAUCGAAUUAUUAGUAUGAUCGAGUUAAUAAUUUUUAUAGUAAUGAAUUAAAUCUAGAUUUUUUAUUAAAUAAUUUACUUUUUUAAAUAUCAAAAUAAUAUUUUAAUAAUUAGGUGAUAAUCUAAAAAAAACAAAGUAUAAGAAGUGCUUUAAGAACUACUAAUGAUACAAAUAUAAAAAAAAACAUUAAAAAAUAAUAAUAAAAAAGCACAACAAAGCAAACCGGAAAAAC